UUUUGUUUCUAGCUUCAUUGAAAAAUGUGAACAUUGGCUGGGCACGGUGGCUCACACCUGUAAUCCCAGCACUUUGGGAGGCCGAGGUGGCUGGAUCAUUUGAGGUCAGGAGUUUGAGACCAGCCUGGCCAACAUGGUAAAACCCUGUUUCCACUAAAAAUAACAAAAACAAUUUAGCUGGGCAUGGUGGUACAUGCCUGUAUCCCAGCUACUUGGGAGGCUGAGGCAGGAGAAUUGCUUGAACCUGGAAGGUGGAGGUUGAAGUGAGCUGAGAUCGCACCACUGUACUCCAGCCUGGGCAGUGGAGUGAGACUUCUUCUCAAAAAAAGAAAGAAAAAAAAAAGAAAUGUGAACAUUAAUAAACAACUUAAGAAGUCACUGUAUCUGCAUACUACUGGAUUAGAUUUAACAGACGCAAUCUUGGCUGAAUAAUGAAAGGAGUUUGGCAUGAGUUCCAGUGUCAAAGCAGAAGUAAAAGCAAAACCAGUGAUGGGCAUAGGCUUGAAAUAUAAUAUAUUAAUACACUCACCAGGUAGUGCUGCAUUAAUAAAUAAACUCAGAAAUCUUAGGGAGUGAAGGCAACAAAGGCUUAUUUCUUGCUUGCAUAAAGUCCUAUAUGGGUUAGGCGAUUCUCUGGGCAGCACUCCCUCUGUCUUGUUAUGCUGCCAUCUCAACAGGUGGCCUCCAGGGUUGCCAAGGCAAAGGACUAGAGGUCACUUCCUUAUGCUGUGGCCCAGGAGAAACUCAUAUGACUUCUGCAUACAUUUCACUGGCUAUGACUAGUCACAUAGUCAUACCUAACUGCAAGAGACCUGGGGAGUGGAGACUUCCUGAGUGACAGGAGGAGAGAAGGGUAUAGGUUUCAUGGCAUGAUAUGGCUCAAUCCACAGACAAAGGCUGCUGAGCCCAGAACAGCUUAUUGGACGAGCCCCUAUGAGAAGCAGAAAUGUAUAGAAGCAAACUGAACCCAAGGAAAGAUUGGUGAUACUUUGGGAGGGAUGACAGAGGAAGGGGAAACACACUGUCCAUCCCUGUCCCAGCAAGGAGCCAGCUCCCAUUCGGCAGUCCCUCUGAACAUCUAGGUAGCUUCCCCCUUCUUUCUGUCCAGUUGUGAGCAGCCACCAACUAUGAUGCCCCUCUUCCAGCAGGCUUUGCUUUCACAUCACAAAGCAUCAUCCUGAGAAACAAUUACAGUUCUUUUUAGAGUUCUGGUUCCUUCAUAGGUACCUAUUGUCCUAAUAAAUGGAAUUCCUU
RNAcentral lists this long non-coding RNA (1254 nucleotides) under Homo sapiens (human). Its description in RNAcentral is "HSALNT0303112". The record is from RNAcentral. Lineage: Eukaryota; Metazoa; Chordata; Mammalia; Primates; Hominidae.